UGGGGGAUAUUGCACAAUGGGGGAAACCCUGAUGCAGCGACGCCGCGUGGACGAAGAAGUAUCUCGGUAUGUAAAGUCCUAUCAGCAGGGAAGAAGAAAUGACGGUACCUGACUAAGAAGCCCCGGCUAACUACGUGCC
RNAcentral lists this ribosomal RNA (139 nucleotides) under uncultured bacterium. RNAcentral describes it as "partial 16S ribosomal RNA". It matches the Rfam family "Bacterial small subunit ribosomal RNA", at positions 355 to 509 of the family's 1533-position model. The record is from RNAcentral.